GAUCUUCCAGAAGCAGGGCCGGGCCCUGGCCGCCAGGGCGGCCAAGGACGUACGGAUCCUGGUCGUCGGAAACCCGUGCAACACCAACUGCCUGAUCGCCUACCGCAACGGCCGGGACAUCCCGGCCAAACAGUGGUCGGCCAUGACCCGGCUCGACCACAACCGGGCCGUGGCCGCCCUGGCCAAGAAGGCCGGCGUGCCGAACGAGGCGGUCACCUGCGUGACCAUCUGGGGGAACCACUCGAACACCCAGUACCCGGACUUCACGAACGCCAAAAUCAACGGCAAGCCGGCGACCUCGGUCAUCACCGACCGGGCCUGGCUGGAGACAGUCUUCGUCCCGCAGUGCCAGGAGCGGGGCAAGGCGG
RNAcentral lists this unclassified non-coding RNA (368 nucleotides) under plant metagenome. RNAcentral describes it as "partial contains 5.8S ribosomal RNA, internal transcribed spacer 2, and large subunit ribosomal RNA". The record is from RNAcentral.